ACCUGGCUGGCUCAGUCAGUGGAGCCAGCGACUCUUGAUCUCAGGGUCGUGAGUUCGAGCCCCACGUUGGGUG
This 73-nucleotide transfer RNA is filed under the name Canis lupus familiaris (dog). It matches the Rfam family "tRNA". From Rfam's summary of the family: Transfer RNA (tRNA) molecules are approximately 80 nucleotides in length. Their secondary structure includes four short double-helical elements and three loops (D, anti-codon, and T loops). RNAcentral also lists the same sequence under 2 other names. The record is from Rfam by way of RNAcentral. Lineage: Eukaryota; Metazoa; Chordata; Mammalia; Carnivora; Canidae.